ACGUCAAUUUUUAUUUUAACAUCUGACUUUUAAUCAGAGGGUCGAAGGUUCGAGUCCUUCAUGGCUCACCA
This 71-nucleotide transfer RNA is filed under the name Bacillus cereus. RNAcentral's name for it is "tRNA-Lys". It matches the Rfam family "tRNA", at positions 15 to 71 of the family's 71-position model. Rfam says of the family: Transfer RNA (tRNA) molecules are approximately 80 nucleotides in length. Their secondary structure includes four short double-helical elements and three loops (D, anti-codon, and T loops). Lineage: Bacteria; Bacillati; Bacillota; Bacilli; Caryophanales; Bacillaceae. The record is from RNAcentral.